GAGUUUGAUCAUGGCUCAGAUUGAACGCUGGCGGCAUGCCUUACACAUGCAAGUCGAACGACGCUAGGGGCAACUCUAGCGAGUGGCGAACGGGUGAGUAAUACAUCGGAACGUGUCCUGUCGUGGGGGAUAACCAGUCGAAAGACUGGCUAAUACCGCAUGACCUCGCAAGAGAAAAGCGGAGGACCGCAAGGCUUCGCGCGAUUGGAGCGGCCGAUGUCGGAUUAGCUAGUUGGCGGGGUAAUGGCCCACCAAGGCGACGAUCCGUAGCUGGUUUGAGAGAACGACCAGCCACACUGGGACUGAGACACGGCCCAGACUCCUACGGGAGGCAGCAGUGGGGAAUUUUGGACAAUGGGGGCAACCCUGAUCCAGCCAUGCCGCGUGUGUGAAGAAGGCC
This 400-nucleotide ribosomal RNA is filed under the name uncultured beta proteobacterium. RNAcentral describes it as "bacterial SSU rRNA". It matches the Rfam family "Bacterial small subunit ribosomal RNA", at positions 9 to 416 of the family's 1533-position model. Lineage: Bacteria; Pseudomonadati; Pseudomonadota; Betaproteobacteria. The record is from RNAcentral.